GCCUUUGUGGUGUAACGGUUAACAUACUCUGCUCGUAUUUGAGAGGUCCAGGUUCGAGUCCCAGCGAGGGCA
This 72-nucleotide transfer RNA is filed under the name Stegodyphus mimosarum. It matches the Rfam family "tRNA". From Rfam's summary of the family: Transfer RNA (tRNA) molecules are approximately 80 nucleotides in length. Their secondary structure includes four short double-helical elements and three loops (D, anti-codon, and T loops). The record is from Rfam by way of RNAcentral. Lineage: Eukaryota; Metazoa; Arthropoda; Arachnida; Araneae; Eresidae.